This 218-nucleotide ribosomal RNA is filed under the name uncultured bacterium. RNAcentral's name for it is "partial 16S ribosomal RNA". It matches the Rfam family "Bacterial small subunit ribosomal RNA", at positions 1284 to 1500 of the family's 1533-position model. The record is from RNAcentral.
CGUCUCAGUUCAGAUUGCAGGCUGCAACCCGCCCUGCAUGAAGUCGGAAUUGCUAGUAAUCGCGGAUCAGCAUGCCGCGGUGAAUACGUUCCCGGGCCUUGUACACACCGCCCGUCACACCAUGAGAGCCGGGGGGACCCGAAGUCCGUAGCCUAACCGCAAGGGGGGCGCGGCCGAAGGUAAAACUGGUGAUUGGGGUGAAGUCGUAACAAGGUAAC